RNAcentral lists this ribosomal RNA (254 nucleotides) under uncultured bacterium. RNAcentral's name for it is "partial 16S ribosomal RNA". It matches the Rfam family "Bacterial small subunit ribosomal RNA", at positions 524 to 777 of the family's 1533-position model. The record is from RNAcentral.
UACGAAUGGGGCAAGCGUUGUUCGGAAUCACUGGGCGUAAAGCGUGUGUAGGCGGUUAAUCAAGUCAGAAGUGAAAUCCCAGGGCUUAACCCUGGAAUUGCUUUUGAAACUGAUUGGCUAGAGUACUGGAGAGGUUAGCAGAAUUCCGAGUGUAGAGGUGAAAUUCGCAGAUAUUCGGAGGAAUACCAGUGGCGUAAGCGGCUAACUGGACAGUAACUGACGCUGAGACACGAAAGCGUGGGGAGCGAACAGGA